GGUCUCACUUUGUUGUUCAGGCUCGUCUUGAACUGCUGGUCGCAAGGGAUCCUCCUCUCAGCGUCCCAGUGUGCUAGGAUUACAGGUGUGAGCCACUGAUCCUGGCCUGAAUAACUACCCUUCUAACUACAUCAGAUAAGAGACUUUCUGCCAUAGUCCACAUUGGGCUUUUGUGUACCCAAGCGCUGAUCACAAUGGUAUUGUGACCAGUUUUCCCAAAGUAAGUUUGACAUUUGGUUUGCUUUUAUUCAUUUCCUUCAUUCAUUCUAUCAAAAAAUAUUUAUCAGGCCCCCAUUGUGCCCCAGGCACUACACCAGCCACUGGAGGAGACUUGCGUGACUAAGGUAGUUAUAAUCGGCCCUAGAUUAAAUUUGCAGCUUGGGAAGAAUAAAAUGAGGCACCAUGCUACGGAGUACACAGAAGAAAUACCUGACCUGUAUUUGGAGAGUGAGAGAAGGCUUUUUUGUUCUUCUUUUUUGUUGUUCUUUUUGGUUUUGUGAGAUUUUCACAGUUUAAAAAAGCCUUCCUCACUCCUUGGUCUGAAACCGAAUGAAAAUUAGCUUUGACAAAUGAUUGGCUUGCAGCUUAUCCCUGUGAAUUGUGGCCAUGUUGAUUUAAUGAGCAGCUCCUAUAUGGAAGCCAGUGUUACACACACAGACAGACUCACAUGCCUUGCCACUGUUUCCCAGACUGCCUGUGGUAACCAUGCUUCCGGGAAGCCCACGUAGUAUGAAUUAGAUACGCACUGAAUAUCGAAUUAAAUAUUAGAAAGCUGUCAUUGCUGCCAUUACCAGGCAUGCUGCUAGGUCCCCCAAAAGUUUUGAUUGAAUGUUGCACAUUAUCCAUCAAAAGGGAAAGUGUGGAGGUUCCAGAUUCUUCACCAAAGGGGAGUCACACCUUCCUUUGCUAGGCUAGCUGAGAAGGGAUAAUCAACUUUCACUGAACUGAGUGAAGUUUAGGAUCCUACCUCAGCCAAGACCCUGGUUUAUUCACCAGGGUCCUUCUCCUUGUGGGUCCUGAACCAUAAUUCUUGUUCCCUAAGCAUGGAGACCCUGCCAGAAACGUCACUCUCUUUUCAGUCUUUCCACUUAGCUUUUUGCUCUGUUAACCUCUUGGAGAGAAAACCAGGGUCAGUUUUCUGCCCCUCACCAGGAUCUAGGCCUCUUAAAUGUUCAUCCUUGCCUUUUGAACCCUCCAAGGCUGUCUAGAGCUCUGAUGAUUUCUCUGCUUCCAGUAGCGGAUUCUUACUCUACACCUAGAAUCUGCAAAUGUCCCAGGGUAAAAGAAGUUGCAGAUCAACAGCUCACCUCUCUGUGAUUCUGCCCUCUUCAAACUGUGGCCUUGAAAGCCACCUUUGCAUCAGCGGUUCUCUUAGGUCUUUUAACAGUUUUCGAUUUCAUUUUAUUUUAUGUGGCCUUUCUAGUUAUUUUUGGUGGGAACAUCAGUCUGCUGCCUGACAUCCUAUUCAGGGGCAAAAGUCGUAAGCCUGUAUUUGAAACUAUAGGGCAGGAGCUGUGUUCAAGCAUGUAGCUUUUCAGAAGUCUAAAGGACUUUAUCCAGUUUCCAUUUCAGGUGUCUAAAGAGGUCUUCUCUGCUCAGAAAGUUAAUGUUCCUCAAGAUUUGACAAAUGCGUGUCAAAAUUCAUGUUGCUUCUGCUUUUAUUAUCAUAUGGUGAGAUUUUUUUACAAACACAUUAAAGCAUAGCACUUAGUGAUUCCAAGUGUUAAGCAAUUAUUUGUUAAAUCAGCUUUAUUUUAAUAAGGCUUAUAGACUCACUUGGAGUUGACCGGGAUUGAUUUUGUGCUGCUUUCUGGAGGCUCCAUUGUGCAUGGAAAUGGAGAGAUGGUCUGGACUUUGGUGGUGCAGGCACCCAGAGAGACGCUCUGUUUCACUCUGAGAAGCUACAGUCCGUGAGUCUGGUCACCACUGCAUAAACAGCCAGUGGACCCAACUGUGGAAAAUAUCAAGGUCCCAAAUAUCUGACUGUCCAGAAGCGUCUUACUCUCCUUAGGUAGCACACAACAAUCAGCCUUUUUCUGAGGCCAUGGCAUGCCACAGAUUGAUCAUAGAGAAUAGUUGGUCCCAGAUCAAAGCCCAUAUAGAAUUGAGGAUGUGUAAAGGCUGUCUGACUGGCUUACUCCUUGGCUUAAAGCCACUUUAAUCUAGGACCUUGAGGAAGCCAGAAUGCAUGUCGAUUACCUUAAGGAAAGAAGAGAAAUCCUUAUGGAAACAGUACCACCUCCAUAUCCAUAGGGCUCCCCUUCCCGCCCUCCACCCUGCUGUUACCUAUCAGUCAUCUGAAAGGAAGAUCCCACAGAGCUGACAGAGUCCUUUAGAGAGAAGAUCCUCAUCUUCUCUCCGUAGGUUACUUGUCUAUUUAAGAAGCAAACCUCUUGUUACCCGCUGGGAGCAUCUUGAUGUUAGAAACCAUGCCACUAUUUUUAGUGCGUGUCCUUGUGCUUCUGCACGAUGAGUCAGGAUUCUCGUUUUAAAAAUACUUGGCAUUCCUCAGAAGAAAGAUAAACACAUUUAAUGUUCUCAGUUGCUACUAUUCUAAUCGCAAAGUCAAGAGUUGCUUCUUUUCUUAACUGCCUUCAGUGCCGCAGAACUAUCUGGGCCUCUUCCUCUCCCCCUCCUUGUGUGAUCACUCCUUUCAAAAGCAACAGCCAAAGCAGAUGCAGGGGAGAUGCAUUGGUGCUCAUAAAUUCAAGGAGCUAAAAUGGCAACAGCUGUGGCAGUUUCAGGAUUUCAGCAGAAAAGUACCAGGCAUUUCCCUCCUUCUUUCUGCCUCCUGACUGGUGCUUCUCUUGAGGCCUGACAUAACAUGAGAUGCCCCUCCUCUUGGAACCUGUAAGUAAUAAACUCUUCAUGAAACUGCCUUUGCAAAAUUGUGACAGUAAGAGAAAUCUAACAUAACUGACUCCAUCUUGCUUCUAACCUCACGAGCUAACUGUCUCUGUUCAUUCUAAGCUAACUAUGGGAGGAAUUUUGUUUAUAAUUUAAAACAAAGAUGAAAGCAGAUCCUUUCUGAAGCUAAACCCCUCCUUACUUGGGGACCAAAAUCACCUUUGUAAAACGAAUGAAAGUCCACAAGGUUACAAUUAUGUUAGGGGCCUGAAUUCUGCUAAGAUGUAGGUAUAAACUCUAACCAGUCAUUGUUUUAUAACUUGCUUUUUAAAAACUACUUACUACUCAGGAAUCAUAUAGCCACAAAAUUAAUAACUUUACCAAUUGCCCCUCUGGAGAACAUUGCUAUUGUAAAACUAAAGACUGGCAUUUGAGAUAUUUUUCAGAUCUUGCAUUCUGUAUGAACCAACUGCCACCACCUGGACCAGUAACCCACACCCUGGAACUAACUCAGCACAAGACAGUGUUGACCCCCUAUGAUUUCAUCUCCAACCCAACCAACCAUUAUUCCCCAUUUCCUAGUCCCCUUGCUUGCUAAACUAGCCUUGAAAAACCCUUGUCCCCGAAUUCUCAGGGAGGCAGAUUUGAGAAUUAUCUCUCAUCAUGCCAUUUAGCUGACCCUGCAAUAAUUAAAUCUUUUCUUGCUGUGAACACUUGCUGUUCUCAGUACCUUGGCUUUUCUGGGCGGUGGGCAAGAAGACCCACCUGGGCAAUUACAACCAUACCUGAUUAAGACAAAUUGCCAGGCUGGGUACAGUGGCUUACACCUGUAAUAUCCAAAUUUGGGAGGCCAAGAAGGAAGGAUUGCUUGAGCCCAGGAGGUUGAGGCUGCAAGUGAACCAUGAUUAUGCCACUGCACUCCAGCCUGGGCAAUAGAGUGAGAACCUGUCUCUAAAUAAAUAAAUAAAUAAAAUCCCAGGUACAUUUUAAGAUACUCCCAUAACCACAAAAAUAGGGUUGAAGAAUAAUAUGCAAAUAAAAAAAUAGUAUCAGAACUGAAGUGAAGGUAAAAAUAUG
This is a long non-coding RNA of Cebus imitator (Panamanian white-faced capuchin), 3924 nucleotides long. RefSeq lists it as uncharacterized. The transcript has 2 exons. The record is from RefSeq and is a predicted model, not a curated record. NCBI's taxonomy places the organism in Eukaryota, Metazoa, Chordata, Mammalia, Primates, Cebidae.